Molecule: ribosomal RNA, 292 nt
Filed under: uncultured eukaryote
Lineage: Eukaryota
Description: partial 18S ribosomal RNA
Rfam family: Eukaryotic small subunit ribosomal RNA
Source: RNAcentral
GGUUGAUCCUGCCAGUAGUCAUAUGCUUGUCUCAAAGAUUAAGCCAUGCAUGUGUAAGUAUAAACUCUUUUGUACUGUGAAACUGCGAAUGGCUCAUUAAAUCAGUUAUAGUUUCUUUGAUGGUACCUUGCUACUCGGAUACCCGUAGUAAUUCUAGAGCUAAUACGUGCACAAACUCCCGACUCCGGCCCCUCCCCCCAAAGGGGGGGGUUUGUGGUGGAAGGGACGUAUUUAUUGGAUAAAAGGCCGAUGCGGGCUUGCCCGGUGUUGCGGUGAAUCAUGAUAACUUGUC